GCUUACGGCCAUACCAGCCUGGGUACGCCCCGAUCUCGUCUGAUCUCGGAAGCUAAGCAGGGUAGGGCCUGGUUAGUACUUGGAUGGGAGACCGCCUGGGAAUACCAGGUGCUGUAAGGA
Molecule: ribosomal RNA, 120 nt
Filed under: Salmo salar (Atlantic salmon)
Lineage: Eukaryota; Metazoa; Chordata; Actinopteri; Salmoniformes; Salmonidae
Source: RNAcentral